UUUAGCAAUAUAAGUUAGAUCCACAUGGCAUUCAGAAAGAUGUAACACUUCUUCCAUGCCUACAAGGUGCUCGAUAGAAUGCUAGGGUUCCUUUUUAAAUUUAGUUGGAUUUGAAACUUGGCAGAAUGGAGUCUCAAUUGCUGCUAAAGGUUUGUAUGGUUGGUUUUAUGAUAGGGAAUACUUGCUAGUGCGAGUGUUGCAACAAUUCAGUUCUAACAUCAAAGUUGAGAGAGAUGCUUGGUGGGCACAAAAGAUGUCGUUGAGGUUGAUCUCUUGGACUUGAGUGUUUGGUUGGGAGGACUGCAAGAUGGAAAAUUUUCAGAAAUUAUAGAGCUAAUAAAAAUGGGUUGCAGUGAAAUGUUCAAACUAGACUGGAAAUGAAAAUUAGAUGACG
Molecule: long non-coding RNA, 394 nt
Filed under: Hordeum vulgare
Lineage: Eukaryota; Viridiplantae; Streptophyta; Magnoliopsida; Poales; Poaceae
Description: long non-coding RNA (HVUL_LNC005334)
Source: RNAcentral